This 253-nucleotide ribosomal RNA is filed under the name uncultured bacterium. Its description in RNAcentral is "partial 16S ribosomal RNA". It matches the Rfam family "Bacterial small subunit ribosomal RNA", at positions 524 to 776 of the family's 1533-position model. The record is from RNAcentral.
UACGGAGGGUGCGAGCGUUGUCCGGAAUCAUUGGGCGCAAAGGGCUCGUAGGCGGCCAACUAAGUCGGACGUGAAAUCCCCAGGCUCAACCUGGGAACUGCGUCCGAUACUGGAUGGCUUGAAUCCGGGAGAGGGAUGCAGAAUUCCAGGUGUAGCGGUGAAAUGCGUAGAUAUCUGGAGGAAUACCGGUGGCGAAGGCGGCAUCCUGGACCGGCAUUGACGCUGAGGAGCGAAAGCCAGGGGAGCAAACGGG